CCCUCUUCUACCUCUUUGCACUUCGUUUUGUUCUAUGUCUGUUAUGUGCUAUUAUUGCUGCAUAAUUGAAUAAGCCUGGUCAACCUACUUUUUCUAUUUUGUGUUGCUCUGAUUAUGUUAAAAAGUACACAUUUUGUCAAAAUUGUGGAAAUUUUAUAAUUUAAAGUGUUUAUAAUUAGAAUGGAGAACACAGAGCAGAAGAGGCUAGUAUUUCUUUCCACGACUGAAUUCAAUUCUUGGUUUUUCAAUCCUUUAUUUAUUGAAUCUUUAGUUUGUUUCUUUGCUUUUUCACAUGGGAGGUUCUUGGAUUUUUUAUUGACUCUUUAUUGUCUUUCCCUGUAAUUUGAAGACUGUAGAGUGGCCUUCUGGGCUUAGACAUCUCAAUUUAGAUCAAAAAGUGUUCAAUGAGAUCUAGCUAAUUUACAUGUAUCUGAUCUUCUUGAUGUCUGAAUUCUUGAUUUAUGCACGAUGUCUCUGUGUAAUCAAUCAAUGUGAGCAAAAAGCAUAACCAAAUGACCUCUGUUUGAAUGGCUCAUAUAAAUGGUUACUAAUUUGAAAGUCCAGUGCUUAUAAUGCUCUAAAUAUGAUUUCUAAUCAUGAUUUGCCAUUAAUUUAGGCUCAAGAUCCAUGGUGAGCUUUGAGGAUGUUCAUCAAGUAAAUGGAUCAACCCGGCCUUUUUUCCGCACUUUUGAUCAAGAUGAGAAUGGUGAUGAUGAAUUGGAUGAGUAUUUUCAUCAACCUGAAAAGAAAAGAAGACUUUCCGUUGAUCAAGUUCAUUUUCUUGAAAAAAGUUUUGAGGUUGAGAACAAGCUGGAACCUGAAAGGAAAAUCCAGCUUGCAAAGGAACUUGGCCUACAGCCUAGGCAGGUUGCCAUAUGGUUUCAAAACCGCAGGGCAAGAUGGAAGACAAAACAGCUGGAGAAAGAUUAUGAGGCAUUGCACACUAGCUAUAACAGCCUUAAGGCU
This 966-nucleotide long non-coding RNA is filed under the name Manihot esculenta (cassava). RNAcentral's name for it is "long non-coding RNA (MESC_LNC003560)". The record is from RNAcentral. Lineage: Eukaryota; Viridiplantae; Streptophyta; Magnoliopsida; Malpighiales; Euphorbiaceae.